GAUGAAGAACGCAGCGAAAUGCGAUAAGUAAUGCGAAUUGCAGAAUUCAGUGAAUCAUCGAAUCUUUGAACGCACAUUGCGCCCGCCAGUACUCUGGCGGGCAUGCCUGUCUGAGCGUCAUUUCAACCCUCGCGCCCGGCUUCUGUCGGGGGCGGUGUUGGGGAUCGGCCUCCCGUCUUCCGGGCGGCCGGCCCCUAAAUGGAGUGGCGACCGCGCCGUAGCCUCCUCUGCGUAGUAGUGAAACCCUCGCGGGCGGAGAGCGGUGCGGCCCGCCGUAAAACCCCCAACUCUUCUAAGGUUGACCUCAGAUCAGGUAGGAAUACCCGCUGAACUUAAGCAUAUCAAUAAGCGGAGGA
This 356-nucleotide unclassified non-coding RNA is filed under the name soil metagenome. RNAcentral's name for it is "partial contains 5.8S ribosomal RNA, internal transcribed spacer 2, and large subunit ribosomal RNA". The stretch from base 1 to 120 matches the Rfam family "5.8S ribosomal RNA", at positions 35 to 154 of the family's 154-position model. The record is from RNAcentral.